Molecule: microRNA, 23 nt
Filed under: Arabidopsis lyrata
Lineage: Eukaryota; Viridiplantae; Streptophyta; Magnoliopsida; Brassicales; Brassicaceae
Description: aly-miR833-5p
Gene: aly-miR833-5p
Source: miRBase by way of RNAcentral
UGUUAGUCUGAACUCGGUCUAGU